Molecule: long non-coding RNA, 1763 nt
Organism: Gallus gallus (chicken)
Lineage: Eukaryota; Metazoa; Chordata; Aves; Galliformes; Phasianidae
Exons: 5
Source: RefSeq, a predicted model, not a curated record
GUGCGCGGGAGCGGCCGUUGGGAGCCGGCGGUUGCAGGCACGGCUCUCCUUAGCGAAGCGCCGCUCCCGGCAGCCCGGGCCGCCCCGCAGGAAAGCGCGGCGGCAACCGGAGCUGUCCGGGCAGCACCGGGCGGGAAGCCGCGGCUCAACGGGAGCGAGUGCCGAGGACAGCUCCGCCGGAGCAGUAGAGUGUUUCAGAAGAGAGAAAAAGAUGGUGGCCAUGAACUGGCUUUCUGUGGCUGGUAAAGCUGUGCUGAGAACUGGGCUGACUAUUGCAACUGAAAAUGCGUGCCAAGUCUGCAGACGCAGAGGAAUAACUAUUCCGUGUUGGUUGAGCUUGUCUAAGCACGGAGAGAUUUCAGAUGCUGUUUGGUAAUGGAAGAUGGAGAGAGGAAAAGCAAGGAAAAGGCAGGCUGUGCAUAGCCAGCGCAUCCCAUCUGUACCGCUGUCCCCCUGCACAAAGGAGAGGAGCAUCUCAGCAAGCUUGGCCUGGGCCAUGGAAGGGAUCAUACAAACAUCUGGACCAACGUGACAGGAGUUAGUUCUGCAGCUGUCGCAACGCUUUGAUCCCCUGCUGCUGGGCUGGGGCGUUUGAGGAAUGAUGCAUGUGCUGAUGUCCACCAGGCUUUGGGGAUGAGUCUGCGUAGCAGGGUAUGUGUGGCAGGACUGAGGCUUGGGGAGCAGGCCAGGUGGAAUCCAGUGUGCUUUGCUGUCGUUCUCAGUGCUUGUUUUUGCUCAGGAGGGCAGGUGGUGAAGCUCAUGAAGCAAUGCCUGCAGAUGGGGUUUGCAGAGCAAGAGGUCCGUCCUGCAGGCCUUGUGUGACACGCAUGGAGCUGUAGCGAGGCUGCAUCAGUGUAAAACAGCAGAAAUGCACGGAGGUGUGAAGGAAUCUCUGUGUGUUUUUUAGUGAAGAACAAACUCUGUGUUCAGUUGUGAAUGAAUGAAUUCAGGCCUGCUAGUUGGUGUUCUUCUCUACACGGAGCCGCAAUUGAAAUGGACGCUCCUGGUGUGAUGUGCGGCCCCGCCCCGUGUUCUCAGAUCCGCCAAGUUGGCAAGGCCUGGCUCUUGGUUGGUGAGCUGUGCCCAGGGUGAGAGACUUGACUCUUGUGGGCUUUGAGACAUGUCUUCGAGUUGCACGUUGUGUUAUUUCUGUUGGGUUGACCUCUUGAGCUCCAGCCCUAAGCGAGGAUCCAAGCAGUAGCGCAGAAGGAAUGGUUUAGACUGGAAGUGCAAUGCCAAGGGCUGGAGCCAGCCGGAGCUGGGAAGUGAUCAUCUCCCCGUACUCAGCACUGGUGAGUCCUCACCUUGAGUAGUGUGUUUGGUUCUGGGCCCCUCACUACAAGGGGGCCCCUGAAAGCCUGAAGUGUGUCCAGAGAAGAGCAAUGAAGCUGUGAGGGUUGUAGAGCACAAGUCUGAUGGGGAGCGGCUGAGGGAAGUGGGAUUCGUUAGUGUGGAGAAGAGGAGGCUGAGGGAAGACCACCUCACUCUGUCCAAUGACGUGACGAGUGGUUAUGUGGAGGUGGGGGUGGUCCUCUUCUCGCAUGGAACUAGUGCUAGAACUAGAGGGAAUGGCCUCGAGUUACAUGAGGGGAGAUUGAGGUUGGAUGUGAAGAAAAGCUUCUCCCAGUGAGCGGUCAGACGCUGGAAGGGGCUGCCCAGGGAGGUGAUAGAGCUACUGUCCCUGUGGGUGUUCAAGGAACAUUGGAUGUUGUAGUGAGGGACGUGUCUUAGUGGGAAGGAAAUAUUGGUGGUAGGUGAGUGGU